Strongyloides stercoralis is the source of this 116-nucleotide non-coding RNA. The record is from Rfam. Lineage: Eukaryota; Metazoa; Nematoda; Chromadorea; Rhabditida; Strongyloididae.
AUCUCUUGGGUUUGAGCAAUCAAACGGAUAAUUUUUUCGCCUUUUACUAAAAAAUUCCGUGCUCAAACCCAUUAAAGAGCAUUUUUAAUUUUUGGAGGCCCUCCUACGGGAAGGCG